RNAcentral lists this ribosomal RNA (411 nucleotides) under Triticum aestivum (bread wheat). RNAcentral's name for it is "partial small subunit ribosomal RNA". Lineage: Eukaryota; Viridiplantae; Streptophyta; Magnoliopsida; Poales; Poaceae. The record is from RNAcentral.
GGUCAAGCAAGGGGAGCGCGGAGAGACAAGUCUAAAUCUCGAGCGGGACCAGAACCAGCAGCAGCAGUGGUGCCGGUGGGAGGUGGAGUCGCGGACUCUUCUGCAGCUCCUCGAGGCGGGAGCGGCUUCCCGAGCUCGAUCCUGUGGAUCAUGCGAGCCGUAGCCCGUGUAGAAGUAGCCAUGUAGCGGCCGCAGGUCGCAGCAAACGGUGCCGAGUCCAGGCAGGGGCCGGAGGGGCUGGAGUAGUAGGUUGAGCGCUGGGGCUCUGGCUACAACGGGAACACUAGCUGAAGUGUCGCCUGUUGUGACGGAAACGGUGGCUCGUUGGUCCGUUCGGGGGGGAAACCAGUAGGGCUAUAGCAGGUAAAGGAAAGAGAGUACGAACGUAAUAUAAAACGAUGAUAUUAACAA